Molecule: ribosomal RNA, 408 nt
Filed under: uncultured bacterium
Lineage: Bacteria
Description: partial 16S ribosomal RNA
Rfam family: Bacterial small subunit ribosomal RNA
Source: RNAcentral
GACGAACGCUGGCGGCGUGCUUAACACAUGCAAGUCGAACGAAGUGGCGAACGGGUGAGUAACGCGUAACCAACCUGCUCCUCAGAGGGGGACAACAGUUGGUAACGACUGCUAAUACCGCAUACUGAAGGAGGGGAUUGUGUCUGAUUAGCUGGUUGGAGGGGUAACGGCCCACCAAGGCGAUGAUCAGUAGCCGGUCUGAGAGGAUGGACGGCCACAUUGGGACUGGGACACGGCCCAGACUCCUACGGGAGGCAGCAGUGGGGAAUCUUCCGCAAUGGGCGAAAGUCUGACGGGGCAACGACGAGUGAGUGAUGACGGCCUUCGGGUUGUAAAGCUCUGUUAAUCGGGACGCGGUACCGGAAUAGAAAGCCACGGCUAACUACGUGCCGGCAGCCGCGGUAAUAC